CUCCCUCAUAUGGAAGUAUCUGAAGCAAGAAUUACAGCACCUUGAUUUUGUGUGGUACUCAGUUGCCAGCUGGAGUUAAAUCAUGACAAAUGUAUAUGGAAUCUUGCUUGUUGUCAUUUUGUCAGGUAUGAAAGCAUGUAGUUGCACACACAUAAGGCUGACACAAAGAAAUGUGGUUUACUUCUGUUACUAACCGUAUACCUUAUUAAUAUGAGAGCAAAUCUGGAAAUUGCUGCAUUUGGAAAAUAUCUGUAACUAAAUAAGUGCAUAAAUAACCCUGGUAAUUAUUUCAGUGAGUGCUAUCAUUAUGGCCAGCACUGGACAGCAUGUGGAAAACUCUGUUUUGACUAUGGUAAGCUCAGAGAAUGCUAGCCAAUAUGCAAUAGCAGUGUAUCACACAUCUGCUUUAUUUGCACAUAUCUCUACCUAAUGGGUAUGAACAUCAGCAAUGACUACUUACUUUUGAUUUAGGGAGAGAUGACAAUUGAGAUGGAAAAGCAUAUUGAGAGACAGAACCUCUCUUUUAGCACUAUAUAGAUUUUCCAUUGACUUCACCUGCACGAGACACACCAUUCAAAGAUGAUCCAGACUGGAAGCAUUACUUUCUGUAAUAGCCAGAGCUAUUAUGCUGAUACUGUGAAAAUGGUUCUUCUCUGUCCUUACCAUCCCUUUCUCCCCUGACUUACAUUGCAUACAGAUACUGGGACUGAGAAGGUGCUGUAAUAAUCAUUCCUGAACUGUGUAUGUAUAUCGUGUUAUUUAUGCAAGGCCUUUGAGAACCUUCUGUAUCUUCUUCAGUAUCACAUUUGGAAGAUUAGUGACUUAGCUGUGAAGCUCCUCUAGGCUUUUCUGAAAAGAGGUUCUUUUUUAGCAUGUGUUUCUCCUUCCACAUUUAUGAGACCAUCUCUCUGCAUUCAUGUCAAAAUAAAACAGGAAAGAAAACUGCAGAAGUUGGAAAAGCAGAGAACAAUGCUUAUCCAUCCACCUUGAAUUCUAGGCUGAGCAAUGUUCACUUGCUCCAAGUAGUUUGGUGGCAGUCACAACUGCUGGAAAUAUUUGUAUGUGUCCUGUGGAAAAGACUAUUAGAGACUGUGGUUAUAAAACCUAAACUGUUCAAACCGAGCAGAUGUAACUUCUGCUUAUUUCCAUGGAACUGAUAAUUCACACAAGCCAAUAAAGUAUAGCAAAUU
Pezoporus occidentalis (night parrot) is the source of this 1190-nucleotide long non-coding RNA. RefSeq lists it as uncharacterized. Lineage: Eukaryota; Metazoa; Chordata; Aves; Psittaciformes; Psittacidae. The transcript is spliced from 2 exons. The record is from RefSeq and is a predicted model, not a curated record.